Molecule: long non-coding RNA, 644 nt
Filed under: Volvox carteri
Lineage: Eukaryota; Viridiplantae; Chlorophyta; Chlorophyceae; Chlamydomonadales; Volvocaceae
Description: long non-coding RNA (VCAR_LNC002949)
Source: RNAcentral
UUAGUAAUAGUAAGACAGCUAUCCCUAACUGCUCCAUACAGGGCUACGUCAACUUAAUGCCGCAUCAAAGAAAAGAAUUUGGUAGUCGUCGUGCUCCGCACCGCCCCUACCGCAUGUUAUUCACCCAAUAAUCGGCCAGUUACCCGGUAAUCAGGCACCGUUACCGGGCUAGGGUCGGUAAUCGGUCAGUUACCCGGUAAUCAGGCACCGUUACCGGGCUAGGGUCGGUAAUCGGCCAGUUACCCGGUAAUCAGGCACCGUUACCGGGCUAGGGUCGGUAAUCGGUCAGUUACCCGGUAAUCAGGCACCGUUACCGGGCUAGGGUCGGUAAUCGGCCAGUUACCCGGUAAUCAGGCACCGUUACCGGGCUAGGGUCGGUAAUCGGCCAGUUACCCGGUAAUCAGGCAUCGUUACCGGGGUAUUUACCAGGUCGCUACCUGGUAAAUACCGGCGCCGGCGCCGGCGCUCAGGGGAUCCAUCGGACGCCGCCCUAGCCUGUGACUGAACGUUUGGAUUAAACUAUUGCAUGAUCCAAGCGAACGGCAAAAUUGAUUUAGCGACACGCACUCUGCAACUAAACGCCGAAGGACUAAUCAGCAACUGUUCUGGCGAGAUAUAUGAGCUUAGCUUAUCAGGGCUUGUAC